Molecule: unclassified non-coding RNA, 1478 nt
Organism: Stegodyphus dumicola
Lineage: Eukaryota; Metazoa; Arthropoda; Arachnida; Araneae; Eresidae
Source: RefSeq, a predicted model, not a curated record
AGGAUGUGCGCAUGCGCUAAAAAUCUGUCAUGUUCUCUGCGACGAUUUCAGAGCUAGUGUUCACCGCUCACUAGCCGACGAUAAAAUCGGCGACUCUAGCCAAUUAGAUUGCUUCCAGAGAUCACGUGCUUUUCUCUCUCAUUUUGGAAACAUGGCGCUUUUUCGUUGGAGCGAAAAUCAAAUUUUUCAAUUGAUUGAUUUUUAUAGAGACCAUGCUGUGUUGUGGGACACAAAUAACAUAAAUUAUAAAAAUAAAAAGUUAAAGGAUUCCCUUAUUUUGGACUUAAGCACACAAAUAUGCGUUCCAGAAAAUGAAAUUAAAAAAAAAAAAUGGAGUAAUCUGCGUACUCAAUUUACAAAGGAGAAACAUAAAAGAAAAAAAAAAUUAUACAUCUGGUGCAAGCACUGCAAUGCAGUACAAAUCGGCAUGGCAAUUUUACACAUCGUUACAAUUUUUAAGUGAUGCCGUGUCCUUAAGGAAUACUGUGACUUCUUUGGUAAGCCAUUACUUUUUAAAUUUAUAUAAUUUGGCUUAUAAAGUAAAUAAUUUCCCUUUACUAUUUGAAAAUUUAUAGAAUUGUUUUUAAUAUAGGCAAAACUUUAACAGUUUUUGUGAUAAAUAAAAUAAUAUUGUUAUACAUAGUUAGCUGUGUAAAUUAUAUUAGCCAAAUGUGCUAAAAUCUGUCGACCAUGAGCAUAACAAUACUUUAGGCAACCAUGCUCAUAAACAUUCCUUCAGUCAAGCAACAUUACCCUCAUUCUUUUUCAUUUAUAAAAAUUUGCCAAACUUGAGGUGGUUACGCUAAUAUGUUAAGUACUAAAAAAUAAAACACUUAUGAAUUUGCAAAAUGCUUCUCUAACUUUUAGCGUUAUUCUUUUCUCAAUGUACACAGUGAUCUGUUUUCACUUAAAAAACCAAUAAAUUGCAUAAACUUGUACUGCACAUCAACUGUUUACCAAACACAUCUCAUCGCUGUUUGCGUUAACAGUUUUGUGACAAAAUACUAUAUUCUGCAGAAUUUUUACUGCAGUUUCUUCCAUUGCUGGCAGAUUCCACAAGUGAUAUUAUAAAAGUAAGUUAAAAGUUCCCAAGUCCCCAAAAAAAUUACGAUGUCUGUCAAAAUCAUUAGAAUUCCAAAUACAACAAAAAUAACACAACAAUUGAAACAUUGCUUGACUGAAGGAUUUUUAUGUGCAGAGUAUGGCAAUUUUUAUUAAGGUGGUUGAGAUAAUAUGCGACUACCUCUAAUUUAAAAAUAUUAAUAGAGAAACAUGAAUUCUUAUUGCAUUUUAAGUAAUUAUUACUAUCAAAAUCUUACUCAUAUUGUUCAAGUUUUUACAAGUAAAUGAAGUCCAACCCCGCUUCACAUUGAAAAGUUAUAAAAAUAUGGGAUGUACAUGCACAGAUACUGUUCUUUUAAAAACACUCAAAUUAUUUCUUUUUACUGUAGUAAUUAUUAGCUUUGCUUUCUUCUCAG